CCCACACCUAUAUGUGUAGGACCCCAAAUGAUCAUCAGUAAAUUUGGCACAGAUUUCUAGAAAAGUUAUCACAUGGGUGUCAAACUUGACUUUUUUAGAGAUCUGUGUCAAAUUUAAUGCUGAUCCUUUGCGGUCCUACACACAUGGGUGUGGG
Molecule: microRNA precursor, 154 nt
Filed under: Amborella trichopoda
Lineage: Eukaryota; Viridiplantae; Streptophyta; Magnoliopsida; Amborellales; Amborellaceae
Description: MIR8565 microRNA precursor family
Rfam family: MIR8565 microRNA precursor family
Source: Rfam by way of RNAcentral